UCAAUACAUUUGUCUCCAAUUCGUUGUAAAGUUUUAAAUUUAUUAAUCUAAAAUUGUGUUCUUACAGAUACAUAAGUAUUGGAUAUGACUAUUUUUAUAAUUAGACUUUUCACGCCUGUGCAUUUUAUCCGCCUAAACAUAAAAAUUGUAAUAAUUUCCGAAGUACUCGUAUAUGUAUGAUCGACUAGUGUUUUUUUUAAAAUUAAACCAUCGUCUUUUUAUAAGAAAAACUUAGUGGUCAAUGGUAAAUCUAUCACUCUUAGUUUUGGAUGUGAUUACAGAGGUUAAAAAAUAAAAAUAUUUUUACGUUACUGUAUAAUCCCAAGUUGCAAAAGCUUAGGAUCUUUCAAAAUAUAUAAAAGCGUAUAGCCCUGAAUAUUAUAUAUUUAUUUACUGCUCAUAAAUACAUAUUAUUAGGGGUGCCAUGUAAAACCGACACGGAAUAAAUGUAAGUGACACAAUAUUUCAAGAUUAAAAAUUGACGUAGAGCUGUUUAUUCUCACUAACAAAUAUAACACACAAAAAGGAAAAACAAGAAUAAUGCACAAGAUCGAAUUAGUUAACCAGUUUCCAAUAGCGUAGUUGGUUGACGACGUGUGAGAAAAAAUAAGCGAUAUUAGAACGAUGCUUGUCAUAAAGUGUAGCGAAGAAGACUUCUACUCAUGUUUUAAGAUUAUAUGUAGUCUGUAUAGGUGUUCAGUAAAUAAGCAACUGGGUUUCUAUUGCUCUCAUUGUUUUUAAUAAUUGAUCUGUUUCUUUACUUACUGAACAUUCUGAAUAGCAAAUACACCACAAACUUCAUAUAGUCAGUGAUAUAUUUGCGGCGGAUUGUCGUUGGGCGUUAAUCGUUCCCGCCAAAUCUGAAUAAGGUCAGUUUUUCAUUUCCGCCAAACCAAUAGUUUAUACCUGUUUACAAAUAGAAGCUUGAGAACCACUGGUUAAAAUACUUACCCAAAUAUCCCGAUAUAGAUUAUCUACUUUUUAUUUAAUCGAACUUUUUCCUUUUCUAAUAUUGUUAAAUAGUAGUGCAUUGAUAAUCAGUAUAUCGAUAAAUAUUUAACCAUUCUAUAUAUUUUAUUUUUUAAAUUAAUAUGUCAUUUGAAUAUAUCAGAAGUAAGCAGGAACUACAAAUGAUUUUCUUGGACACUAUUGAAAAUUUUUAAUCUUCUCAUAGGAAAAUGUUAUUUGGUUUCAAUAUUACGUUUUUUAAUUAUUUUUCUUCAUCUCAUAAAUAAUAAAAUACCUUAACUUUAAUUUUCUUUAAUGAUUGAAAAAAAAUUGAAAAUUAUUUUAUUCUUAUCAUCAUUUUUACCGGUGAACUAUUUUUCUGUUAAUAGUUGUUCAACAAUAGUUAAAUCAACAAUUUAAAAAUAAGAAUUCUCUUCCAAUAAAGAAAAUUAAAGUUUUUUAUGCUUGAAGGGACGAAUUACUGUGAAUAUUAUUUAAUUAAUUAUAAUUAGAAUACAUAAUUAUAUGCACUAAAAAUAGCCAAAUAUAAUGCAAAUAUGUGCAAAAAAAAAAAAAACAAUAAAAUAUGAGUUUAAUAAAUUUUUCUUCUUAAAAAACAAUUUUAAUAUAUUAUUAAUUGUGCUCUAAAACUUAGUUAUUUAAUAAAGUAUAACCUUUAAUAUUGACUCGGAGGCCUUUAUUGAUCGAUCGGUUCGAUUCAAUACUGUCGAGUUAUACACAUUUUCGUCCUCUCAUACAAGAAUUUUGUUUCUGAAACUACUAUUUCCUAGGUGACCACACUGGGUCACCAUAGAAAAUGAAAAUCUUAACAUUUUUUAGCUGAGAGGACAAUAAAUAAUAUUAAAAAAUUAUUAUAUUAUAGAAUUAUGAUCAUUAGCGUAGUUAUCAUGAAAGCGCUGUGGUGGCUUCAGCUCUCAUAAUUAAAGAAAAUUUUUGGGGAAAAGUGAUUGAUAAAGAAAUGUGGUAAAACUUUCUAUUAAUAUAUAUAUAUAUUUAUAUAUCUUCUACUGCUUGAAAUUUUUACGGAUGUACCCACGUUUUCAGUAAUGAUCAGAUGGUUCCAGACUCGUUGCAGAGUCUAUCUUCAGAUCGAUAGUUACAGGCUCUUGGUUGUAACUAUACUGUCGGCUUAGCUUGUUUACGGUAUGUAUUUAUAUGAGCUGAUAAUUGAUAACAUCGAUGUUGUUUAUCUGUUGUAUGUCAGUUUGUUGUUUACAUCCGGUUUUUGUUGUUGUUUAUGACAUUCUUGGCAUUUAACUCUUCUUUUUCUACACUGGCAAUUUUCUGUUAUUUAAUUGUAGUUUUUUCACACAUUAAGAUAUUUUAUUUAGUCUAUCCAUCUUCUAUAAUGUAAUUUUCUGGACAUUUUUAGCAAGACUCGAUUACCUAUCAUACUUAAUAAAUAACUUAAUGUGUGAAAAACUACAAUUUACAGAAAAUUGCCGGUGUAGAAAUAGAAGAGCUGAAUGUUGUAAACAACAAUAAAAACAAAACCCGGAUGUAAACAACAAAUUGACAAUUGUCAAAAACAACAGAUAAACAACAUCGAUGUUAUCAGUUAUCAACUGACAUAAAAACAUACCAUAAUCAAGCAAAGCACACAGUAUAGUUACGACCACGAUAAUGUAACUAUCGCUCGGAAGAUGAACUCUGUAACGAGUCUGGAACCGUUAGCUCAUAACUAUAAAUAUACACAGAGUGAUUUAUUAAGAAUAAGACACUCAUUUUCUCGGUAACAAUUGAAAAUUUUUGGUAAGAAAAAUAUUGUUUGAUUCAAAAAACUCUACAAUAAUAUGUAGUAAAAACAUGAUUUUGUUCAUUCCUUCAAGGUUAAAAAACAUUAACUUGAAUUUUCUUAAAUGAAAAUCCUUAUUUUGAAUUUGUUAUGAUUGAAAAAAAAAAAAUACAAACAAUUUCGUUAUUAUAAUUUUUUUUUUCGAUCAACCGUUUGUCUGUUACAGUUUGUUAAAGUUAAAUGAUUUUGGAUUAAAUUUCUAUUGUUAUUUUAAUGUUUUGAAUACAGAAGUUACUAUUUUUCUAUGGUGUAACUAAUUUUUAUUGACCAAGAUAUGACAAGUGAGAUAGCAAUAAUAAUGUACAAUGCACUAAUUGAGAGAUAAUAAUAAUAGAUUCAAAUCGGGACUUAACUAUAUUAUUAUAGCACAGUCCAUCGGUUUGUAAGGCAAUCUGUAAAACUAAAGAAUCAAUUUAUUUGAAAAACCAACCCUUCGCGUAUUAUAGACUGUAAUACUAUAAUUUAUAGUGACUAUUAAAAUAAUCGAAUACUACGAUAAUGUUAUCGAAAUCAUUGCUUAGACAGAGUGAUCUUUAUUUUUGUUGACGGAUACUUAUUUAAAGUUGUAGCAUAACCUCAAACUGAAUUGAGUUAAAUACUAAUUCGCCGCGUUACUACAAUCCCGCUUGAUUAAAGAUUCUUGUUCAUUAUUCAAUAAGCUUUAACGUAGCCUUAGAAAACUGAAUUGAGUAAUAAAUUAACUCGACAUCUGUAUAUAAACUGGCGUGAUCUAACGUUUUUGUAUAUUAAUUAUAAGUUAACGUAUUAAUUAUUAAUUAUUUUAUUUAUAUAUCAUUACAAUUAAUAAAUUAUAUUUGAAAGUUUAUUGAGGUCAUUUAAGUAAAAAAAUGUCAAAUAAUAGGUAAGUACAAUGGAUUACGAACACAAAGCUUAUAUAUUGAUCAUUUUUUUUUAUAUUAUAUAGCCACAAGUAAAAUUAUUUAUUCUGGAAAAUUUAUGAAACAAAUUACUUAAGAAGAUAUUUACAUUUUUGGACAUGUCUCUGCUAAAAGACAAAAUUGCUAAGAAGUUAUACCUAAAUUAAUGAAAACCAAUCUUUUUUCUCUUUGAGAAAAAUGAAUUUUGCUGUAGUGUGUUUUAUUACUUAAAAAUUUUAACUCUGGCAGUGAUUUUAAAUGAAAUGUUGUAUGAGUCUAAUUUGUGUAUGACAAUAAUUGUGAAAUUACAUAAUUGGAGUAUGGGAAAAAGUGAAAUAUUUAAUAUUAAGAAAAUAUUAUGCAACUAUUUUGAUAAUUGAAUUAAUAUUUCAUUAAGCAUGAUUGGAUUGAAAUAAACUUAAUUUUAUUGUACAAAAUGGCUACAAGCACUCUGUAAAAAUAUAUGAACAUUUUCAGAAAUUAUAAUUAUUAUGACUUGUUAAUUUUUAGUUUUGAUACCUGCUGUUGUCAGUACUUUUAAGUUUACAGCUGUAAGUAAGAUAUUUCGAUAUCAAAAAAUUAAUAUUCUAAUUAUAUUAAGAAAUAAAAAUGAUUUAAUAAUGAUUUUGCUAUUACCAUGACAAUAUUGUGAAAAAUAAUUGAAUAGCAAAUAAAUGCAAAGAUCUCAAAACAACUUGAUUACAAAUCUAAUGUCUACAUUAUAUUAAAGCAAUUCACCGUAGUAUGAAAUUGAUAUUUAAUAAUAAGUAUUAUAAUUUUUAUGGAGAAAUUAUAAAGUAUAUAUUACUUUUAUGGCAAACAUAUAUAAAAGUUAAAGGACUUGAUGUAAUACUUAAAAAAAAAAAUUGUUUCUUAUUGGUCUACAAGGAAUUUUCAUCAGAGAUCAAAAUAUACAUUGCUAAACCAAUUUUCGCGCCUAUUUCAAAUCUUCAAUUAGAGUUUCGCAUAUUGACUAAGUAAUUACAAAAUCCUUCUAAUUACUGACUUAAAAGUCAAUUACUGACUUUUCAGUGAUUUUUUGUGGCUUUUGAAUUUAAUAUUUUAUAGUUUUUAAAUUAAUAAUAUUUUUAAUUUUAUUUAAAAAAAGAUAGCUUGAAGAAGGGGGUUUGAACUUUGUAACCCAAACAAAUAAGACUAUAAUAGUCUGUAGUGUGAAAACAAGUUUAUACCUAUUUAUUAAUCUCGAAAUUGAUUCCCCAGACUCAUUAAAUACAAUUUUGAUUGGUAUUAUCUUUAAAAAUCUAAUAAUACCUACAGUUAAUAGAUAAUUUUAUUUAAUAAUAUACAUUAUUAAUUAGAUAAUUUGUGUUAAAAAACGUCAGUGCAUCAUUUACACGAGCUUUAGAAUACAACAGGUCAAAUUUAUAAGCAAUUUUUAAUUUAAUUUUUUUGUAUAUUUAAAAUUUUUGCAUGUGUGAACUAAUACAACCAUACACAAUUGCCAUUAUUAGUGAGGAAUGUAUGAACGAGGUGUUUUGAUGUUCACAUGAAAAACAGAACGCUGCUAAUGCUUUCGAAAUUUAUCGCCAAAUAUUGAUAGAUUCAAAUUAUUUAUCUUCAACAGUUGAUAAAAAUUUUUCCAAAAAUAAUGGAUGAAUUAUGGCCAUAUCAAUAAUUAAUGUAUUAAAUGACUAUGAAUUUAAGGAAGAUAAAGAAUAUUUUUUAAGCUGUGAAUAAUCCGAAGAAUCGUUUUUAGAUGAGGCAGUUAAGAGCUCUAGUUCAACAACUUUAUAAUUAGUUCCGAUAAAUUGAAAUCUCCAUUAAAAAAAAGGCAUUCAUAUCGAUUAAAACCAAGUUUAAAAUUGUUCAGAUUGCUAGAGAACACUCUAAUUGGGGCUUAAAAACAUUACAACGGAUGUACUUUGUUGAAAAAAAAGGAGUAUUUAAAUCGUUGGGAAAAUAAAAUUUUGAACUGCGGUGUAAAGGAGUGCUAUGAAAAAAUUAAUAAGUGGACUUAUGAUUGCUUUUAUGAAGCUAGAAUGAACAAACAACUUGUUACAACAAGGAUGAUUCAGCAAUGGGCGUCAGCAGCCGCAGUGCGAUUGUUAUCUUUACUUUGUUGAUAAUAUUCGGGUAGCUCCAAAUUUCUAUUUAGUGGUGGUCGGACGAUCGCUGUUAUGCAACAGUGAGGAGUACACGCCGCAGCGGACGGGUAAUGGCUUAUGCGUCGGCAGUUAUUAUAUUGACAAUAUACAGAUUCUGGAAGUCAGAUUACAAGGCGUAGCAGACGGGCAACAGUAGUUAUUAUACAUUAUAACUGUGGCUCCUGACUGUCCGCCCCACGGACUGGACGGUCCGUGUUUUAGGCCACUUAUUAAGAUUACACAUUGAAUAAUUAUUUUGGAUUUUCAGUUUAGUUAUUAUUAUGUUGUAAUGAGAAAUAAUAUUAACUCCGGUUUGAAUUAUUUUUAUACUAAAUUACUAAAAAUUUUGUAAAAAUGGUCCUUAAAACCAUGUGAGACAUAUUUAAAUUAUAUAAAGGGAGAAUUUUUAAAAUAGAAAUAGAUUAAUUUUCGUUUGACGUCAUUCAUAAUAAUGAAAAAUUAUUAAAAUUUUGCAAGGCUAUUAUUUCGAAUGUAUUAAAAUUUACUAAGAAACAGUGGAGAUCGUGUAUAUUCAGAAUUAGAUCUUUUUUUAUAAUGUUAUCCACAAUGUAAAUGAAUAAAUAUAAAAUGUUAAUUAAAAUUAAAUUUAAUCAUUUUUGUCAUAUUAUAAAUGAAACAUUUUUGUGUACAUAUAAAUUAAUAAUGAGAUAUGAAUGAUAUCAAAGUAAUUAAACAACUAAAUAUAUCUAUUAAAAUAUAUUUUUAAUAAAAAAUUUGAGUUAAUUUAAAUUAAAUUAAUUAUAAUAUUUUUGCAGAAAUAUAUGAGAUAAUUUUAAGUUAAUUAAUGCAGGUAAAAUAGAUGAGUUAAGAGAUAGAUUAGUUAGAUUUUACAAAGAUAUUAUACAAUUAGAAAACAGACAGUAAUUUAACCUUAGUAGAAAAAGAUUUAAUUUUAAAGGAAUUGUCCAAUAACAUAUUGAUAUAUUAAAGUUAGAACACGUUUAGGUUUAUAUGUGUCUAGUCCAGAAUCAGUCUCUAAUCUUCUUAAUACCCCAGAAAAAAUUCUGAUAACUUAUUAAAAGAUAGUAAAUAAUUAUAUAAAAAAUUUAAUGAUAAAAUGGAUCUUAUAGUUGACAAAGUAGAAAAAGUUUUAGAAACUUAUAUUUUAAUGACAUAAAUAUAGACAAUGAAUUUAUAAAUACUUUACAAAAUAAUUAUUUAAAAAAUAAGAUUUGUCUGUACUCAUAGAAUUGUAUUUUGGUAAAUAGUAUUUGUAUUUUUCAUAUUAUUUAAUAUUAUUCGUAAUAUUAGCAUCAACAAAAUAAUGUUCUCUUAAAGAAUUUUUUUUGACAAAAAAAAAUUAUUGAUUA
This is a long non-coding RNA of Daktulosphaira vitifoliae (grape phylloxera), 7078 nucleotides long. RefSeq lists it as uncharacterized. The transcript is spliced from 6 exons. Lineage: Eukaryota; Metazoa; Arthropoda; Insecta; Hemiptera; Phylloxeridae. The record is from RefSeq and is a predicted model, not a curated record.